RNAcentral lists this ribosomal RNA (490 nucleotides) under uncultured bacterium. RNAcentral describes it as "partial 16S ribosomal RNA". It matches the Rfam family "Bacterial small subunit ribosomal RNA", at positions 29 to 507 of the family's 1533-position model. The record is from RNAcentral.
AAUGAACGCUGGCGGCAUGCCUUACACAUGCAAGUCGAACGGCAGCAUGACCUAGCUUGCUAGGUUGAUGGCGAGUGGCGAACGGGUGAGUAAUGCAUCGGAACGUGCCUUUUAGUGGGGGAUAACGUAGCGAAAGUUACGCUAAUACCGCAUAUUCUCUGAGGAGGAAAGCAGGGGACCUUCGGGCCUUGCGCUAGAAGAGCGGCCGAUGUCGGAUUAGCUAGUUGGUGAGGUAAAGGCUCACCAAGGCAACGAUCCGUAGCGGGUCUGAGAGGAUGAUCCGCCACACUGGGACUGAGACACGGCCCAGACUCCUACGGGAGGCAGCAGUGGGGAAUUUUGGACAGUGGGCGCAAGCCUGAUCCAGCCAUGCCGCGUGAGUGAAGAAGGCCUUCGGGUUGUAAAGCUCUUUCGGCUGGGAAGAAAUCGCACCCUCUAAUACAGGGUGUGGAUGACGGUACCAGCAUAAGAAGCACCGGCUAACUACGUG